This 874-nucleotide ribosomal RNA is filed under the name uncultured euryarchaeote. RNAcentral describes it as "bacterial SSU rRNA". It matches the Rfam family "Archaeal small subunit ribosomal RNA", at positions 21 to 902 of the family's 1478-position model. The record is from RNAcentral. Lineage: Archaea; Methanobacteriati; Methanobacteriota.
GGUCACUGCUAUUGGGAUUCGACUAAGCCAUGCGAGUCGAGAGGGUUCGGCCCUCGGCUGACGGCUCAGUAACACGUGGAUAAUCUGCCCUUAGGUGGAGGAUACCCUCGGGAAACUGAGAAUAAUACUCCAUAGGUCUAGGAUGCUGGAAUGCAUCUAGACUGAAAACUCCGGUGCCUAAGGAUGAGUCUGCGGACUAUCAGGUUGUAGUCAGGGUAAAGACCUGACUAGCCUACGACGGAUACGGGUUGUGAGAGCAAUAACCCGGAGACGAUAUCUGAGACACGAUAUCGGGCCCUAUGGGGCGCAGCAGGCGCGAAAACUUCACACUGUGCGAAAGCGCGAUGAGGGAAUCCCAAGUGUUUGCUCGUAAGAGUAAACUGUUUCUUUGUUUAAAACGCAGAGAGAGUAAGGGCUGGGUAAGACGGGUGCCAGCCGCCGCGGUAAUACCUGCAGCUCAAGUGGUGAUCAUUAUAUUGGGCCUAAAACGUCCGUAGCCGGUUUAGUAAAUGCCUGGGUAAAUCGUAUAGCUUAACUAUACGACUUCCGGGUAGACUGCUAAACUUGAGACCGGGAGAGGCUAGAGGUACUCCUGGGGUAGAGGUGAAAUUCUGUAAUCCUAGGGGGACCACCAGUGGCGAAGGCGUCUAGCUAGAACGGGUCUGACGGUGAGGGACGAAGCCCUGGGGCACAAACCGGAUUAGAUACCCGGGUAGUCCAGGGUGUAAACGCUGCUUGCUUGAUGUUAGUUGGGCUCCGAGCCCAACUAGUGUCGGAGAGAAGUUGUUAAGCAAGCUGCCUGGGAAGUACGGUCGCAAGGCUGAAACUUAAAGGAAUUGGCGGGGGAGCACAGCAACGGGUUGAUCCUGCCGGA